CUAUUAUAAGUUUGGCUUCGCUUAUUGACAAACCUGGAUCUGGAUUGGAUCUGGAUGGGAAUGGCGAAUGGGACUGGGGCGCUGGGAAUCUGGGAUCUUGGCAUUGGCAAAUUCAUCAAUUUUCUUUUACGCGCCAAAAGAUUUUCAUUGUCACGUGUGACUAUGGGAGCCAAAUAGUAGCGCGGGCAGGUGAAAAAAGUUAACGACAUGGGGUGCACGGUGAGACAAAAUUAGUUUCGCAGAGAACGUUGAAGACGAUUAACUGCUAUUAAGUCUGCUUGGUCUCUCUGUAAG
Long non-coding RNA from Daphnia magna, 294 nucleotides. RefSeq lists it as uncharacterized. Lineage: Eukaryota; Metazoa; Arthropoda; Branchiopoda; Diplostraca; Daphniidae. The record is from RefSeq and is a predicted model, not a curated record. The transcript has 3 exons.